AUAUUCAGAAAAUAUUCAAAUAAAUAUUAUAAAUAUUUUAUAAAUAUUAAUACAUUACUUUUAAUCGACCGUAAUAUGUUAAACAUAUCAUGUAAAAAUUGAAAUUAGCGACCCCAAAAACCCUCUAUGUACCAAUUUAUAAAUAAUUUUCAGAAAUACAAGUAGUUAUUGCGCUAAUUUAGAGUUUCACGAAAUUUGAUUAUGAGUUUUAAGCAUAAAAAAAUGCAUUGUUCUUAGAGAGAGGCAAAGAGGGGCAAACUAAAAAUAAAUAGAUUGUUUCAUGGGAAGUUCUUCUACAUUCUCCAAAAAGAGAUUUCUUGGCAUUUUGUGGCAAUUUUUUUAUACACGUCAAAGAGUUUUGGAUUUCAUGCUUAAAAAUGUUUAGGAAUUUUGUUGUUUUUAUAUUUUAACGAGACAAAUUUCGAAUAUUCAUUAUCGAAUUUGUUAGCUUUAAUAAAUAAAAUAAAAUAAUAAAGGGUAAAAGUAAUAAAAAAAAUUAUUGCAAAUAAUAAAAGCCCUUUUAUAUGGCAUUACUUUGAACAGAUAAUAUAAAUAUAUGUUAAUUCUUCACAAAGUCCCCUUGUAAGUCGUUACAUUUUUAAUGUCCAUAUUAAUAACAAAUACUCUUGGUUCUUUUUUUAUUUGAAAUUAAGUUCAAUCUAUAUUUAAAUAACAAAUUGAGAGCGAUUUUGUAACCUUUAAAACUAAAAAAUUAUUUUGCUCUAUGUUCGGGUUUCACUAUGCUUUGUCCCACUGUGCGUCGUAGAAAAAAAAUUUGACAUAGAAUUUUCAAUAGGCUGAAACCUCCUCUUUCGAAUCCCGGCGUCAGAAUUAAUUUACAAAGCGAGUAAAAAAGUUACGGCUCAUUAAAAAAAAAAAAAAAAAAAAAAGGCAAUAUUUUUCGACAUUUUUUUCCGAAAAUUACAUAUUUUGGUUGCGAAAAUGUUUUGCAGGACCACUGCAAUAGAGAUAGAUCGUGGAAUAAAUAUCUGCUUUUUUAAAUCCCAUUGCAAUUUUUUAAACAUUCAACAUGGCGGAUUUUAUGUGGCGGUCGAAAGAUAGAAAAACCGUAUAUAACCGAAAUAUUUUCGAUUUUCUUUUUGUAAAAUUUUCUCAAAAUACUUUAACCCUCCGUCUGUAUACUGACCCCAAAAGGGAACAAGCGAAAUUUUUUACUUGUGUAGCCACAAAAUUGGUGAUAGGCAAAACUUGGUUCUCCUUUCUAAAAAAACUUAGUAAUAAUAGGUACUCAUACCCCAAAAAACGCUUUGAUCCGACACUUGUUAAAACGGCAGCAUGUAAACUUUUCAAGUGUUCCCAAAAAGACCCAGUGUACAGACCGUGUUAGUAUUUCGUGACAGUAAGAAAUAUUUAAUUUUUGUAUUUUUCUUAAUUAUUUUGUUAUUUUUAUGAUGUUUUUACUUGAGUUACAAGCAUAAUCUGCUUUUUUUAGUCGAUAAAGGCAAUUUAAUCACAAUGGCCUCUUGGACACGUCUGAUCGCUGGCUCUUGCAUAUAUUUUAUAGCAUGCUUGAUAAUGCUGACAUAAAUUCGUCAAUUUUAUACUAUUUGCGAGAAGAAAAUUUAUUUUUAUAUCGACGUGACUUUUUGAAAGACUUGGCUUUCAAUUUAGUAAAGCCACAUUUGCAACGUCGUUUAAAAAUAAAAACUUGAGAAGUUAUUUACGUCAUACAAUUCGAGAAAUUUUAAAUAAUGGCGAUAACUCUACUCAGACUUUUAAUCCUAAUAUAAAAAUGAACAAACAAAAAAGAUGUUCUGUAUAUCCGUUCGCAGAUAAUAAAAAAACGUGAUUUUGUAUGGUGUAUGUGGCGAGUCAAUUUGCGACGAUCAUCGCAUGAUUUUCUGUUUAGAUUGCGCACAAAAACAUAGUUAAUUUUUUUUUUAAUUCUGAUCAUUCUACAUUGUAUAUACCUAAUUUUUUAUGAUAAUAUGCUAUAAUUUUUUAUAAGAAUAGAUUUGUGUGAAAAAUUAUCAUUUUAUUAUAUUCUUAUUACCCGAAAAAUACCUUAUUUUUAGUCAUGCAAAUAAUAUUUUUUGCAACCAACACAUAUAGAACAAUUUUUUUCUGAAAAUUAAUACUUUAAUCUAAAAAACCUCAAAAGAAUUUUUUUACGAAAUUCCAUUUCUUGUCAAUCUCGGAAAAUUAAAAUUGUUAUUGUAAAAAAGGUUUUUAAUAAAUGACUAAAAUAACUAUCGAAAUUUAAAAUGUAGUUACUUAAAAGUAAUUAGGAAUUUUUUCAGAUUUUUUGGAUGUAUUUAACAUUUAAAAAAAAAGAGACAGAGACAAAAGGGAUCAGUGUUCAAACCGUGUUAGUGAAAAUAAGUGUACAGACGGAGGGUUAAAAAUACAUAGGCUUGUUAUUUUAUGUGAGUCGAGAUUAUAAUAUAAUAAUAUAUAAUCAAUACAAAUAAUGGCGGUUUCUUUCACGAAAUGCGAAAAAAACACGAUUUAUCGCCAAAUAAUGUAGAAAAACGAUAAGCAAGUGUUCAUUGCUGGUAUGUAUCAUGCUUACGUAUACACCUAUGUACAUCACAUGUGUGUGUGUGUGUGUGUGUGUGUGUGUGUGUGUGUGUGUGUGUGUGUGUGUGUGAUGUACAUAAGUAUAUAUGUAGAUGUAAGCAUGAUGAAAUACCAGCAAUAAACACUUGCUUAUGACUUUUCUACAUUAUUUAGCGAUAAAUCAUGUUUUUUCGCAUUUCUUGAAAGAAACCGUCAUUAUUUGUGUUGAUUAUGUAUUAUUAUGUAUAUAUCUCGGCUCACAUAAAAUAACAAGCUUAUGUAUUUUUAAAAUAUUUCUGCAGAUUUUACAAGAAAAAAAGCAAGAAAAUAAAAAAUAUUUUUGUUAUAUACGGUUUUUCCAUCCUUUGACCGCCAUAUUAAAUCCGCCAUGUUAAAUUUUUAAAAAAUUGCAAUGAGAUUUGAAAAUUUUAUUGCACACAGUAAUUUUUGUGUACAAAAUUACUGUGUCUAAAAUUCCUGUGUCGAAAUGAAUAGUGUCCAUUUGAAACGUGUACAUUAUUUUGUGUCCAUUUGCACCAUGUCCAAUUGUACUGUGUCCAAGUGAAGGCCACUCAACAUAAUCAUUAUCAACGUUUAAAUCAGAAUUGAGCGUUUACACAUAAAAUAAAAAUAA
Monomorium pharaonis (pharaoh ant) is the source of this 3154-nucleotide long non-coding RNA. RefSeq lists it as uncharacterized. NCBI's taxonomy places the organism in Eukaryota, Metazoa, Arthropoda, Insecta, Hymenoptera, Formicidae. The transcript is spliced from 2 exons. The record is from RefSeq and is a predicted model, not a curated record.